AAACAGAAGCCUUCGGGUAGAAGAUUUGUGGAUCGAGCGGCGGACGGGUGAGUAACACGUGGGCAACCUACCUAUAAGACUGGGAUAACUCGUGGAAACAGGAGCUAAUACCGGAUGUAUCGUUUGAACGCAUGUUCAAACAAAUAAAGGCGGCUUUACGGCUGUCACUUAUAGAUGGGCCCGCGGCGCAUUAGCUAGUUGGUGGGGUAAUGGCUCACCAAGGCGACGAUGCGUAGCCGACCUGAGAGGGUGAUCGGCCACACUGGGACUGAGACACGGCCCAGACUCCUACGGGAGGCAGCAGUAGGGAAUCUUCCGCAAUGGACGAAAGUCUGACGGAGCAACGCCGCGUGAACGAUGAAGGUUUUCGGAUCGUAAAGUUCUGUUGUUAGGGAAGAACACGUACCGUUCAAAUAGGGCGGUACCUUGACGGUACCUAACGAGAAAGCCCCGGCUAACUACGUGCCAGCAGCCGCGGUAAUACGUAGGGGGCAAGCGUUGUCCGGAAUUAUUGGGCGUAAAGCGCGCGCAGGCGGUCUUUUAAGUCUGAUGUGAAAUCUUGCGGCUCAACCGCAAGCGGUCAUUGGAAACUGGAAGACUUGAGUGCAGAAGAGGAGAGUGGAAUUCCAUGUGUAGCGGUGAAAUGCGUAGAUAUAUGGAGGAACACCAG
This 670-nucleotide ribosomal RNA is filed under the name uncultured bacterium. Its description in RNAcentral is "bacterial SSU rRNA". It matches the Rfam family "Bacterial small subunit ribosomal RNA", at positions 64 to 712 of the family's 1533-position model. The record is from RNAcentral.